This 24-nucleotide small nuclear RNA is filed under the name Arabidopsis thaliana (thale cress). RNAcentral describes it as "snRNA_02442". Lineage: Eukaryota; Viridiplantae; Streptophyta; Magnoliopsida; Brassicales; Brassicaceae. The record is from RNAcentral.
GUUGAAAUUGUAUUAAUGCAAUAU